This 378-nucleotide ribosomal RNA is filed under the name Triticum aestivum (bread wheat). Its description in RNAcentral is "partial small subunit ribosomal RNA". Lineage: Eukaryota; Viridiplantae; Streptophyta; Magnoliopsida; Poales; Poaceae. The record is from RNAcentral.
GGAGUUGUGAAGGAACGUUCUGUGCGCGUCACAAUAGACGGAGGGAGCUGCAACAACUUGGCUAGCAUGGAGAUGGUGGAGAAGCUUUCUCUCACCACAAGACCACAUCCACAUCCUUACUACAUCCAAUGGUUCAACAACAGCGGCAAGGUUAAGGUAACACGUACUGUUCGUGUGCAUUUUAGUAUCUCUACAUAUGCUGAUUAUGUUGAUUGUGAUGUGGUACCUAUGCAAGCAUGUUCCUUAUUACUUGGUAGACAAUGGCAAUUUGAUAAAAAUUCUGUACACCAUGGUAGAAACAAUCACUAUACUCUUGUUCAUAAGGAUAAAAAUAUUACUUUGCUUCCUAUGACUCCUGAUUCCAUUUUGAAAAGAUGA